Pelobates cultripes (western spadefoot toad) is the source of this 173-nucleotide non-coding RNA. The record is from the annotation of a GenBank genome assembly. NCBI's taxonomy places the organism in Eukaryota, Metazoa, Chordata, Amphibia, Anura, Pelobatidae.
AAAAAAAUAAAUAAAUAAAACUCUCCGAGGACCCUUAACAAAGGCUGUUUGAAGUUGAAAUGUUGGGUUGUGUGUCUUCUGACAGAAGACACACAACCCAACAUUUCAACUUCAAACAGCCUUUGUUAAGGGUCCUCGGAGAGUUUUUUUUUUUUACUUUUUGUUUUUCUCAU